UACAGAGGUCUCAAGCGUUGUUCGGAUUCAUUGGGCGUAAAGGGUGCGUAGGCGGUGGGGCAAGUCAGGUGUGAAAUCCCGGAGCUCAACUCCGGAACUGCACUUGAUACUGCUUUACUAGAGUACUGGAGAGGAGACUGGAAUUUACGGUGUAGCAGUGAAAUGCGUAGAUAUCGUAAGGAAGACCAGUGGCGAAGGCGAGUCUCUGGACAGUUACUGACGCUGAGGCACGAAAGCGUGGGUAGCAAACAGG
Molecule: ribosomal RNA, 253 nt
Filed under: uncultured bacterium
Lineage: Bacteria
Description: partial 16S ribosomal RNA
Rfam family: Bacterial small subunit ribosomal RNA
Source: RNAcentral